Molecule: long non-coding RNA, 599 nt
Organism: Solanum tuberosum (potato)
Lineage: Eukaryota; Viridiplantae; Streptophyta; Magnoliopsida; Solanales; Solanaceae
Exons: 3
Source: RefSeq, a predicted model, not a curated record
AACAGGAAAAUGAAAAGACAAAGGCAAGAAAAGGAAAUGUCAAGAACACAGCUUCUCGAUCAACCACGCCGGAGCAAGACAGCCACCAAUGAAGAUAAUCGAAGGCAAGCUCGCCGGUUUUGAAAAUCGUGAAGAUUGAGUUGAUUUCCUGGUUCGAUUCCAAGUUUAGCGGUCUCAAAGCUCUCACCAGACGCUGUGAAAUCAAAAUCCAAGAUGAAGUUGAACUUAAUCAGCUUUUCUAUGCGAUGACUCAAAAGUUAGGAUUGCAAUAACAACAAUGCCUCAAUCCUAAACAGGUUGAGGUUAGCUAUUCUAAUUCUCACAAAACCAUGAUGCUCCAUUCUAUGCUUCAAUCCUAAACAAGUUGAGCUUGGCUAUACGAUCAAUCUGUCAAAACUGAACUUGAUGUCCUCAAUGCUGGAAAAUGAGUUCAAUGUCUGAGUUGAUAUUGAUUCAGGAGAAACAUCAACGUCAUCAUCAUCCUGAUGGACAAUUAGAGCUCAACGUAUAUAUCAACUAUUCUUGAACCAUAUAUAAUUGAGGAGAUAGUUGUUGGAAAAAUAAUUCUAGUAUCUCAAAAAGACUUGUUUAUAUUAUUA